ACGUUGGUCGUUCAGGGGUAGAAUGUUUGCUUAUCACGCGGACGACCAAGGUUCGAUGCCUGGCCAAUGCA
Parelaphostrongylus tenuis is the source of this 71-nucleotide non-coding RNA. The record is from the annotation of a GenBank genome assembly. NCBI's taxonomy places the organism in Eukaryota, Metazoa, Nematoda, Chromadorea, Rhabditida, Metastrongylidae.